This 253-nucleotide ribosomal RNA is filed under the name uncultured bacterium. RNAcentral's name for it is "partial 16S ribosomal RNA". It matches the Rfam family "Bacterial small subunit ribosomal RNA", at positions 524 to 776 of the family's 1533-position model. The record is from RNAcentral.
UACGUAGGGUGCAGGCGUUAAUCGGAAUUACUGGGCGUAAAGCGUGCGCAGGCGGUCUGUUAAGACAGGUGUGAAAUCCCCGAGCUCAACUUGGGAAUUGCGCUUGUUACUGGCAGGCUAGAGUGUGGCAGAGGGGGGUGGAAUUCCACGUGUAGCAGUGAAAUGCGUAGAUAUGUGGAGGAACACCGAUGGCGAAGGCGGCCUCCUGGCUUAAUACUGACGCUGAGGUGCGAAAGCGUGGGGAGCAAACAGG